This 506-nucleotide ribosomal RNA is filed under the name uncultured bacterium. RNAcentral's name for it is "partial 16S ribosomal RNA". It matches the Rfam family "Bacterial small subunit ribosomal RNA", at positions 29 to 523 of the family's 1533-position model. The record is from RNAcentral.
AUUGAACGCUGGCGGCAGGCCUAACACAUGCAAGUCGGACGGUAGCACAGAGGAGCUUGCUCCUUGGGUGACGAGUGGCGGACGGGUGAGUAAUGUCUGGGGAUCUGCCCGAUAGAGGGGGAUAACCACUGGAAACGGUGGCUAAUACCGCAUAACGUCGCAAGACCAAAGAGGGGGACCUUCGGGCCUCUCACUAUCGGAUGAACCCAGAUGGGAUUAGCUAGUAGGCGGGGUAAUGGCCCACCUAGGCGACGAUCCCUAGCUGGUCUGAGAGGAUGACCAGCCACACUGGAACUGUGACACGGUCCAGACUCCUACGGGAGGCAGCAGUGGGGAAUAUUGCACAAUGGGCGCAAGCCUGAUGCAGCCAUGCCGCGUGUAUGAAGAAGGCCUUCGGGUUGUAAAGUACUUUCAGCGGGGAGGAAGGCGGUGAGGUUAAUAACCUUGCCGAUUGACGUUACCCGCAGAAGAAGCACCGGCUAACUCCGUGCCAGCAGCCGCGGUAA